GGGCGUAUAGCUCAGUCGGUUAGAGCGCAUCCCUGAUAAGGAUGAGGCCCCAGGUUCAAGUCCUGGUACGCCCACCA
This 77-nucleotide transfer RNA is filed under the name Nocardiopsis dassonvillei. RNAcentral's name for it is "tRNA-Ile". It matches the Rfam family "tRNA". From Rfam's summary of the family: Transfer RNA (tRNA) molecules are approximately 80 nucleotides in length. Lineage: Bacteria; Bacillati; Actinomycetota; Actinomycetes; Streptosporangiales; Nocardiopsidaceae. RNAcentral also lists the same sequence under 20 other names. The record is from RNAcentral.